GCCCUUCGGGGUACUCGAGUGGCGAACGGGUGAGUAACACGUGGGUGAUCUGCCCUGCACUUUGGGAUAAGCCUGGGAAACUGGGUCUAAUACCGAAUAUGACCAUGCGCCUCCUGGUGUGUGGUGGAAAGCUUUUGCGGUGUGGGAUGGGCCCGCGGCCUAUCAGCUUGUUGGUGGGGUAAUGGCCUACCAAGGCGACGACGGGUAGCCGGCCUGAGAGGGUGACCGGCCACACUGGGACUGAGAUACGGCCCAGACUCCUACGGGAGGCAGCAGUGGGGAAUAUUGCACAAUGGGCGCAAGCCUGAUGCAGCGACGCCGCGUGAGGGAUGACGGCCUUCGGGUUGUAAACCUCUUUCAGCACAGACGAAGCGCAAGUGACGGUAUGUGCAGAAGAAGGACCGGCCAACUACGUGCCAGCAGCCGCGGUAAUACGUAGGGUCCGAGCGUUGUCCGGAAUUACUGGGCGUAAAGAGCUCGUAGGUGGUUUGUCGCGUUGUUCGUGAAAACUCACAGCUUAACUGUGGGCGUGCGGGCGAUACGGGCAGACUUGAGUACUGCAGGGGAGACUGGAAUUCCUGGUGUAGCGGUGGAAUGCGCAGAUAUCAGGAGGAACACCGGUGGCGAAGGCGGGUCUCUGGGCAGUAACUGACGCUGAGGAGCGAAAGCGUGGGGAGCGAACAGGAUUAGAUACCCUGGUAGUCCACGCCGUAAACGGUGGGUACUAGGUGUGGGUUUCCUUCCUUGGGAUCCGUGCCGUAGCUAACGCAUUAAGUACCCCGCCUGG
This 787-nucleotide ribosomal RNA is filed under the name uncultured bacterium. RNAcentral's name for it is "bacterial SSU rRNA". It matches the Rfam family "Bacterial small subunit ribosomal RNA", at positions 75 to 876 of the family's 1533-position model. The record is from RNAcentral.